CCAGCCCUACGGGGCGCAGCAGCGAGGAAUAUUGGUCAAUGGCCGCAGGGCUGAACCAGCCAAGUCGCGUGAGGGAUGACAGUCCUAUGGAUUGUAAACCUCUUUUGUCAGGGAGCAAAGGGCGCCACGCGUGGCGCUUUGCGAGUACCUGAAGAAAAAGCAUCGGCUAACUCCGUGCCAGCAGCCGCGGUAAUACGGAGGAUGCGAGCGUUAUCCGGAUUUAUUGGGUUUAAAGGGUGCGCAGGCGGAAUGUCAAGUCAGCGGUAAAAUUUCGGGGCUCAACCCCGUCGUGCCGUUGAAACUGG
RNAcentral lists this ribosomal RNA (305 nucleotides) under uncultured bacterium. Its description in RNAcentral is "bacterial SSU rRNA". It matches the Rfam family "Bacterial small subunit ribosomal RNA", at positions 333 to 636 of the family's 1533-position model. The record is from RNAcentral.